This 461-nucleotide ribosomal RNA is filed under the name uncultured bacterium. RNAcentral's name for it is "bacterial SSU rRNA". It matches the Rfam family "Bacterial small subunit ribosomal RNA", at positions 30 to 507 of the family's 1533-position model. The record is from RNAcentral.
AUUGAACGCUGGCGGCAUGGCUAAAACAUGCAAGUCGAACGAGAACGGGGCUUCGGCCCUUAUUAAAGUGGCGAAAGGGUGAGUAAUGCGUUUCUAACGUACCCCGAGGUCCGGGGAUAGCCCAGGGAAACUUGGGGUAAUACCCGAUGAUCUCACUUGGUCGUAUGGCCGGGUGAGCAAAGGCUUGCUGCCUUGGGAUCGGGAAACGUCCUAUCAGUUUGUUGGUGAGGUAAAGGCUCACCAAGGCGAAGACGGGUAGCGGGUGUGAGAGCACGACCCGCCACAUCGGGACUGAGACACUGCCCGGACUCCUACGGGAGGCUGCAGUAACGAAUAUUCCGCAAUGCGCGAAAGCGUGACGGAGCAAUGCCGCGUGCAGGAUGAAGCCCCUCGGGGUGUAAACUGCUGUCAGGGGUCAGGAAUUCUGACCAACCCCAAAGGAAGAGCCGGCUAACUCUGUG